RNAcentral lists this ribosomal RNA (1110 nucleotides) under Lactiplantibacillus plantarum. RNAcentral describes it as "bacterial SSU rRNA". It matches the Rfam family "Bacterial small subunit ribosomal RNA", at positions 341 to 1444 of the family's 1533-position model. The record is from RNAcentral. Lineage: Bacteria; Bacillati; Bacillota; Bacilli; Lactobacillales; Lactobacillaceae.
ACGGGAGGCAGCAGUAGGGAAUCUUCCACAAUGGACGAAAGUCUGAUGGAGCAACGCCGCGUGAGUGAAGAAGGGUUUCGGCUCGUAAAACUCUGUUGUUAAAGAAGAACAUAUCUGAGAGUAACUGUUCAGGUAUUGACGGUAUUUAACCAGAAAGCCACGGCUAACUACGUGCCAGCAGCCGCGGUAAUACGUAGGUGGCAAGCGUUGUCCGGAUUUAUUGGGCGUAAAGCGAGCGCAGGCGGUUUUUUAAGUCUGAUGUGAAAGCCUUCGGCUCAACCGAAGAAGUGCAUCGGAAACUGGGAAACUUGAGUGCAGAAGAGGACAGUGGAACUCCAUGUGUAGCGGUGAAAUGCGUAGAUAUAUGGAAGAACACCAGUGGCGAAGGCGGCUGUCUGGUCUGUAACUGACGCUGAGGCUCGAAAGUAUGGGUAGCAAACAGGAUUAGAUACCCUGGUAGUCCAUACCGUAAACGAUGAAUGCUAAGUGUUGGAGGGUUUCCGCCCUUCAGUGCUGCAGCUAACGCAUUAAGCAUUCCGCCUGGGGAGUACGGCCGCAAGGCUGAAACUCAAAGGAAUUGACGGGGGCCCGCACAAGCGGUGGAGCAUGUGGUUUAAUUCGAAGCUACGCGAAGAACCUUACCAGGUCUUGACAUACUAUGCAAAUCUAAGAGAUUAGACGUUCCCUUCGGGGACAUGGAUACAGGUGGUGCAUGGUUGUCGUCAGCUCGUGUCGUGAGAUGUUGGGUUAAGUCCCGCAACGAGCGCAACCCUUAUUAUCAGUUGCCAGCAUUAAGUUGGGCACUCUGGUGAGACUGCCGGUGACAAACCGGAGGAAGGUGGGGAUGACGUCAAAUCAUCAUGCCCCUUAUGACCUGGGCUACACACGUGCUACAAUGGAUGGUACAACGAGUUGCGAACUCGCGAGAGUAAGCUAAUCUCUUAAAGCCAUUCUCAGUUCGGAUUGUAGGCUGCAACUCGCCUACAUGAAGUCGGAAUCGCUAGUAAUCGCGGAUCAGCAUGCCGCGGUGAAUACGUUCCCGGGCCUUGUACACACCGCCCGUCACACCAUGAGAGUUUGUAACACCCAAAGUCGGUGGGGUAACCUUUU